This 788-nucleotide long non-coding RNA is filed under the name Capsicum annuum. Its description in RNAcentral is "long non-coding RNA (CANN_LNC005876)". Lineage: Eukaryota; Viridiplantae; Streptophyta; Magnoliopsida; Solanales; Solanaceae. The record is from RNAcentral.
UAAAUUUGGAAAAUAUAAAUACAAUAACAAAACAAAUUCCGUAUGUUAAGCAUUUUAGUUAAUUAAUGUACACAUAAAAAGCUAAUUGUGGAAUAUGCAUAAAUAUAUUUUUACAAGAAUUGCUAGUCCCCUCAGUCACAAUGUAAGUGUUAUUUUUUCCUUUUCAGUCCGGUACAAAAAGGAGUGCUGUCACUUUUUACAAUGAGUUCGUUUUUCAAUUUUAAUAUUCUAAAUAAAAUUACAAGAUUUAAAAGGACUAUUAUUUUUUAAACUUCAUACAUAUUCAAACGAAGACACUUAAACUGUGUGAGAGAGGGAUUACAUUUCUUCAUCAAGCAAAGCUUCUGAAAAGUUCCUCCAUAGCUUCUUCAUCAAUAUUCUUUUUUUCCUUUGUUCUUGUUUUGUCUCUAAAUUUUCUUGAUUUCAUCUUCAAUUUUUCUCUUUCUUCUCUACUAUUGUUGGUGAAUAGUGUUAAAACAUCAAUAACAAUAUUAUUUAACGAUUAACAAAAAUAUAAUAUAAUAUAAUAAUAAUAUUAGAUAUUAUGACAGUAAUAUUACUCAUUACCAAGUUAAUGAUAUUGAUAUUAUAUAAAUAUUACUAUCUAUUUUAAGUGAUAUAUCAAUUAUAUUUGGAUCGUAUUAGGUAUUAUUCUAAAAAAUUAUUUCAGCAGCAUGAAAUAUUUUUUCAAAAUUAAACAAUUCUUUCUUGAUUAAUUAGAUGAUAUUCAGAAUUAAAUAAAUUUUUUUAAUUAAUAAAAGAAUAGAAGAAUAAUCAAAAUUAUUAAU